RNA transcript from Ctenopharyngodon idella (grass carp), 3055 nucleotides. It is a transcript of the gene named signal peptide peptidase-like 2, with no coding region annotated. NCBI's taxonomy places the organism in Eukaryota, Metazoa, Chordata, Actinopteri, Cypriniformes, Xenocyprididae. The record is from RefSeq and is a predicted model, not a curated record. The transcript has 15 exons.
GCACACGAAGUUAGCCAAUCGGAAACGUACUGCAAAAUGUGGGCGGGAUAUGCUUAAACAGCUGAUAGUUGUGUCUGAGGAGAGCAGUGUGGAUGGGGGAGACGACUACAAUCAGGCAUCAUGAGAUUUUUGUCAAGUCUCCUUUGGGCAGCUCUUUUGUUCAAACAGGUUUUAGGUGAAUAUGGCAUGGCACAUUUCAGCGAAUGGGGGAACACUAAAGGCAAAGAUUACUGCAUAUUCUUCAACUCUCAGUGGGCUCGAUUACCUCAGGACCUCAGUAAAGCAGCACGGCUGCAGACGUACGAUCUCACCACCUCUGUACUGUGCUCCCCCUCUGAUGUACCUGAGGGUGGCUUCCCAAACAGCAUCCCAAUGGUGAUGAGAGGAAAUUGCACUUUCUAUGAAAAGGUCCGAUUGGCCCAGAUGAAUGGUGCCAAGGGACUACUGAUCGUCAGCAAAGAUAGACUGACUCCACCCUCAGGCAACAAGUCCCAGUAUGAGGAGAUAGGCAUCCCGGUGGCCUUGCUAAGCUAUAAAGACAUGCUGGACAUCAGUAAGACGUUUGGGGAGAAACGGCAGGUGGCCAUGUAUGCGCCCAAUGAACCGGUGGUGGACUACAACAUGGUGCUUAUCUUUCUAAUGGCAGUGGGCACAGUGGCUGUCGGAGGAUAUUGGGCUGGCAGCAGGGACAUUAAAAAACGUUACAUGAAGCACAAAAGGGACGACGGUGCUGAGAAGCAAGACGAGGAGACCGUUGACGUCACCCCCAUCAUGAUUUGUGUGUUUGUGGUCAUGUGCUGCUCUAUGCUGGUGCUCUUGUAUUACUUCUAUGAUCAAUUAGUGUAUAUGACUAUAGCGACGUUCUGUCUGGCAUCUGCCGUCGGUCUGUAUAGCUGUCUUUGGCCUUUUGUCCGAAGAAUACCAUUAGGGAAAUGCAGGAUACCUGAGAAUAACCUGCCGUACUGCCACAAGCGGCCGCAGGUGCGCAUGCUGAUCCUUUCAGCCUUCUGUAUAGGAGUCAGCGUCACUUGGGGAGUUUUCCGCAACGAAGACCAGUGGGCGUGGAUACUUCAGGAUGCGUUAGGCAUCGCUUUCUGUCUCUAUAUGCUAAAAACAAUCAGACUUCCUACUUUCAAGGCCUGCACUAUGCUGCUGGUCGUGCUGUUCGUGUAUGACGUGUUUUUUGUUUUUAUAACACCACUCUUAACUGAGAGUGGGGAAAGUAUCAUGGUUGAGGUGGCGGCUGGUCCCUCUGAUUCCUCUACUCAUGAAAAGCUUCCCAUGGUGCUGAAAGUGCCCAGGUUAAAUUCGUCUCCUCUGGUCCUGUGUGACCGGCCCUUCUCUCUCCUGGGCUUUGGGGAUAUCUUGGUACCAGGUCUGCUUGUAGCAUAUUGUCACAGAUUUGACAUUCUCAUGCAGACUUCUCGAAUAUACUUUCUGGCCUGCACUGUUGGCUACGGCAUUGGUCUUCUCAUCACAUUUGUGGCUCUGGCUCUGAUGCAGAUGGGUCAGCCUGCCCUCUUGUACCUGGUGCCUUGCACGCUCCUCGCCAGCCUUGCGGUGGCACUGUGGCGCAAGGAGCUGCCUUUGUUCUGGACAGGAAGUGGAUUUGUGGUGAAUACCAGUUUGAUAUGAGUGCCUACUUCGAUUGGAAAAGUUCUAGGGUUAUGUACGGUUACUAGAAUUACACCUCCUCCAAUUGUCAUGGAACAAAUCAACUGUACUCAAACCCCAGGACCGUCCACAGAUGAACCCCAGUCCAAUCCGGAGCCGCCAGACUCUGAAACGACCAAUCAGAGCAAGGAAGAGCCUCCUCCACCAGCCCAAGUGGAAGUUCCGCAUCUUACAGAUGCAUCUACUUCAUAAAAACAAAAGACUCGAAGGAUGCUAAUAUCUUUUUCAUUUUUGAAGUCAGUUAUAUAUCUGACCAUAUAUGUAAUAGACUUGAGCAGUAUGAACAUCUCAGUGCACUUGUUUUAAGCCUUUGAAAUUGUACAGUCUGUUCGAACCGAAGAAGGAGACACAACAUCUGUGCUUCAUCCAACUUGCUUCAAGUUUACGUUUGAUGGUAUUAGGAGGGAGUCGAAGGGACAGAUUAUCUUCUUCACAAGGAUUUCAACUCUGUGUGUUCAUUUUGUUCAUCUUUUUCUUUUUUUUUCUUUUUAAAUCAACAGUAAAUGAAACAAAGUGCAGCUAUUUUAAGACAAAUGUUAUGAUAAUUCAAGACAGCUCACUGAAAAUAUUUCUAUUUGGCUUCCAGUUGAUAAUGCAUUACUGACGGGUUUUGUCCUUGUCAUGACAGCGCUGAAGUCUCACAUCCUUUAAAAUACGGUGCUAAUAAGGACCGAAUGAACCACAGGUGUCGGGAAUAAUGAUUUAUUAGUUUCAUCCCAAGUUCUGAGAUGCGAAUACUGUGAUAAGAUUAAUCGUUUAUAUUCUGGUAUGCUGUAUAAUUAAGAGCAGUACUGUUAUACAAGGCCACAUAAUUUAACAAAAUCUUCUUUAUAGGUUUGGAAUGUGAUUUCAACUUUAGCUGCAUUGAAAUCGAUCAUAUUCAUAUGCUCAUGGCUUGUUUGAAAGCAUUGUAUUUAGAAUUUGUUGUUUACUUGAUGGAAGGGACGUUUGAGAUCUUUAAAUAAAAAAUAAAGUGCAUUUUUAAAACAAGUGCAGUUUUUAAGCAUACUUUUUUUUUUUUGCCCAUCUGUUGAGUGACAGUUUUUCUGUUUUAUAGUAGGAAUUUUGUAUUCAUGGUACUUUUUAAGAAGUUGUUUUUCCAGUGUAAAGCACUGAUGUGUGUUUCUAUAUAUGAUUUAACAGUCUGAAGUUACAUCGAGUUUAUUUAAGAAGUGAAUGUCAUGCUGUUGUCUCAUUGAAAUCUUUUUGAUUUGGGUACACCUUGUGAUCAUGUGGAAUAACUUAGACAAGUUGUAAUCAUGAUCUGUUCAUUUAUUAAUAUUCCUGCAGGCUGGAGGUUGUGUCAGAUCUUCAGUCAUGUAUGCUGAUUUUGAAAAGUUGUUGAAGAGAGCACAUAUUAAAGGAAAAAUGCAUUAUGUUA